RNAcentral lists this ribosomal RNA (500 nucleotides) under uncultured bacterium. RNAcentral describes it as "partial 16S ribosomal RNA". It matches the Rfam family "Bacterial small subunit ribosomal RNA", at positions 30 to 523 of the family's 1533-position model. The record is from RNAcentral.
AUUGAACGCUGGCGGAAUGCUUUACACAUGCAAGUCGAACGGCAGCACGGACUUCGGUCUGGUGGCGAGUGGCGAACGGGUGAGUAACAUAUCGGAACGUAUCCAAUAAUGGGGGAUAACGAGUCGAAAGAUUCGCUAAUACCGCAUACGCCCUACGGGGGAAAGCGGGGGACCUUCGGGCCUGGCGUUAAUGGAGCGGCCGAUAUCGGAUUAGCUAGGUGGUGAGGUAAAGGCUCACCAAGGCGACGAUCAGUAGCUGGUCUGAGAGGACGACCAGCCACACUGGAACUGAGACACGGUCCAGACUCCUACGGGAGGCAGCAGUGGGGAAUUUUGGACAAUGGGCGCAAGCCUGAUCCAGCCAUUCCGCGUGAGUGAAGAAGGCCUUCGGGUUGUAAAGCUCUUUCGCAAGGGAAGAAAACUUAGCCACUAACAUUGGUUGAGGUUGACGGUACCUUGAUAAGAAGCACCGGCUAACUACGUGCCAGCCGCCGCGGUAA